UCCGCGGGACGGGGCCGCCCCGCGAGGGACGGCGCCGCCCCCGGGGGCUCGUGAUAUCUCAUCUCGCCGCCCGUCGCGAGGCGGACGGAGGGAUGGAUGAGGUUACCUGGAAAAAAUCGGGGCGAUCUAGGCGGGCGAACCUCGCCAACGAACGAUCGGACAUGGGAUAACGGAAGAGGGCGUCGGCUCGACUUCGUCGGUUCCUCGGGCCGAGGCACGUACGGUGAAUAGGGACGGUCGGGGCCGCCCGUACCGGGUCGUGAGAGGUGAAAUUCUAGGAUCGACCCGAGACGAACCGCCGCGAAAGCAUUCGGCAGGACGCUUUCAUUAAUCAAGAACGAAAGUCGGGGGAGUCGAAGACGAUCAGAUACCGUCGUAGUCCCGACCGUAAACGAUGCCGACCGACGGGCCCGGAGGAGUUACGUACGCCCUCCGGGCCCUCCCGCCGAGAAAU
Molecule: ribosomal RNA, 454 nt
Filed under: uncultured eukaryote
Lineage: Eukaryota
Description: bacterial SSU rRNA
Rfam family: Eukaryotic small subunit ribosomal RNA
Source: RNAcentral